UCUCCUUAGGUAAUCCUGGGCUUUUCAUCCAUUCUUUCACCAGACACAUUUCGAUUGCAUGUGCAGGGAGAAGUAUAAAUGUUUUGCUUGCUGUUGCUUAAAGUUCAUUUGAACAGACGGAGCUCAAUGAAUUCCAUCUUCCGCAGCCAAAUUAAAUAGAAAACAGUGCAUUCUUAAGCAGUUCACACUUAACUCCACCUCUCAAAUCAGAGGAAAAAGCUGACGUGAAACCAGUUAAAGAACAGUCAUCCUCUCUCGCACGGAAAUCAAGACAUUGUGUUUCUGAAGCCAGACAGAAGGAAAAGUGGUUUCCAAUUAUGUGGGGGGCUCUAUAUCAACUUCACCAGCAUAUAUGGAUACUGGGGAAUAAUUGUGGGACAGUAAAGGCUGGCUGCACCAUGCAAUAAAAAUCAAUGAAGCAAGAUGCUGGUUGAUUUGUGGUUGUGGCUGAUUUACAAAGUCCUUCUCCCUGGUAAUUUACUAGAUCAAGGUAGCUUCUAUAAACCCAACCUGAAUGAAUAUGGAGUAAUACAGGAUUUGAGUUCCUGAGAUCUCCUAGACAUAAAAGAAGGAAGCAAGGUAAGAACAGGGAAUGGGUACCCAUGGGAGUAGCCCACUGUAAAAAUGGACUUGUCUUCUCUGAAUCUUAUUUGAUACCCACUGUUUUCCGCUGAGGUUUAUGUAGCUUGUUUGAUUACAGAUCUUUGUCCCCAGAUUUCUUCUCCACCCCACCUUUCUUUUCAUACACAGACCCUUGGACUUCUAUAAUGGAAUGGUACCACCCCUAAGAAAGAGUCUGAAAAAUGAACUAGCGCAGUGAAAACCCCCAGUAAAUGUUAUGCAAACUUAUCAUGAGUUAAGCCAGAAGUACAAAUUUGCUACAUUGUGGAAAGGCUAUAAAAUAGCAAUUUGUCUUACUGUAUGUGCAAUUUUAAUGUAUUCCAAAGCAUGUGUAUUGUCUAUUUCUAUUACCCAGAUCAUUCAAACUUUUAAGUGCAAAGUAAAUAUAAAGCGUUGCCUUUUUAAUAAUAUGCAGUUGUAGCAUAUGCUUUUCUUGUUUUCCACCUCCAGUGUGGACCAGAAACACAUAAUUGCUGCUUUUACUCAUGUUAUCUGAUCAUUACACAAAACAUGAACCUGUUUGAGAUUACUUUAUAUUUUUACAAUUAUUAUUGUUAACAGCUACUUUCACUAUUCUGGAAACAAUUGAGAAUUUUAGUAGGUAAUGGGUUAUAUUUCUUAAUACUUUACAUACAAAGUAAAAAGGAAGGUGGAAAGUUUAACUUUUUCCCUUCAAAUUUGUAUAAAACUGCAACCACCUUUCAUAAAAUUACCAAUAUAAUCACUACAUAAGAAUGCAUAAAGUGCUCUUGGGUUCUCGUUUUUCAGAUAUGUAGUAACUGAAUGUAUUUUUCUAUAUAUUCUUUCCCUAUUUUAUUUCUGAUAUAAAAGAAGUAAAUAUUUUAAUCUAUACAAGUCAUUUACAUUCAAUAUUGUAACACAUUUGCUUCACUGAUUUAUCAAUUUGCUCAAUCAACAAACACCUUCUGAGUACCUACCAUGAUGAGGCACUGUGAUAGAGGCUAAGAAGAUAUGAAGAUGAAAAUGACCCAGUCAUUGGUCUCAAGUCUCGUAACAUAGUAUCAGCUCACAAUUUAGGAGAGUUAAGCAUACGACCCAGCAAUGCCACUUCUGGACAUAUACUCAAAAGAAAUGAAAGCACAGUCUCAAAGAGACAGUAUGUGCAUGUCCAUGUUCACUGCAGCAUAAUUCAGAAGAACCAAGAGGCAGAAGCAACCUUCCAUCAUGAAUGAUGAUGAAUGAAUGGAUAAAUAAAAUGUGGUGUAUAUAUAUGGCAUAUAUAUAUAUAU
Molecule: long non-coding RNA, 1871 nt
Filed under: Homo sapiens (human)
Lineage: Eukaryota; Metazoa; Chordata; Mammalia; Primates; Hominidae
Description: HSALNT0393490
Source: RNAcentral